Long non-coding RNA from Cercocebus atys (sooty mangabey), 772 nucleotides. RefSeq lists it as uncharacterized. The transcript has 2 exons. NCBI's taxonomy places the organism in Eukaryota, Metazoa, Chordata, Mammalia, Primates, Cercopithecidae. The record is from RefSeq and is a predicted model, not a curated record.
GGGCUAGCCACGUAACAAAAAAUCUUCUUAGAUUAUGAAUUUACAUUCUGCCUUAAAUGCUGGAAUACUGGGGAUUUCAUGGUAAGAUCAUCAGAAAAGAGAUGAAAAGGCAACUGCUGGUUUUUCUUGCCGCGUCUGACACGGCCACACACGAGUCCCGCCAGUUCUUCUUUGGGGCUGCAGGUGCAUACCAAACUGGGUAGGGGGCGUGUGUAGAAGAAGUGUGUUCUCUGGAGCACCACCUCCGGAAUUCCUGAAAAACACCCUCAUGGGUGCACCAGCACUCCACCUACACCCGGAACCCCUCUGCUGUCGGGGUGUGGAAGUUGGAUUUGAAUAUUUGGUACUGGCUGAGAAUUCCAAGUUGUCUAGUAAAGUUUGACAUUAAAUAGAUCUUCUGACCUGUUAUAUACAGCCUCAAAAGCUUCCAAGUGAUCUGCAUCAACCAGAGAUAAUUGUCUGAAACAAAACAAAAUAAUGAAGAGGUAUAUUCAGGCUAUUAUAAUUUGCAGAGAGCAAUCACAAGGCCUUUUCUUGAAAAGAGGUGCAGUAAAUUGAUCUAUAUAAAAACAGCAAAGCCCCAGGAGCACAAAGAGAACUAGAUUUCAGGAAUGGCAUGAAGAGUUCUGUUUAUCAAACAUUUCUUGUGUCCCUACAGUGUGUCUAAUACUCUAUGAAGUGGAAUAUAUAUAAAAGUUACCACACCAUCUCCUUUCAAAAGGGGGCAAGAGUCUACAAUAAAAUUCCUUUGUUUGAUUUCCUCUGUUCCUGA